AGUGCAAAGGAUGAACGACAAUGGGACUUAAUACUGAAACCUGAUGUUGACAGUGCAGUAAACUGAUGUGC
Fukomys damarensis (Damara mole-rat) is the source of this 71-nucleotide small nucleolar RNA. Its record names the gene SNORD82. It matches the Rfam family "Small nucleolar RNA SNORD82". From Rfam's summary of the family: snoRNA U82 or Z25 is found in both humans and mice. U82/Z25 is a member of the C/D class of snoRNA which contain C (UGAUGA) and D (CUGA) box motifs. Most of the members of the box C/D family function in directing site-specific 2'-O-methylation of substrate RNAs. The record is from Ensembl. NCBI's taxonomy places the organism in Eukaryota, Metazoa, Chordata, Mammalia, Rodentia, Bathyergidae.